RNAcentral lists this unclassified non-coding RNA (394 nucleotides) under soil metagenome. RNAcentral's name for it is "partial contains 5.8S ribosomal RNA, internal transcribed spacer 2, and large subunit ribosomal RNA". The stretch from base 1 to 121 matches the Rfam family "5.8S ribosomal RNA", at positions 35 to 154 of the family's 154-position model. The record is from RNAcentral.
GAUGAAGAACGUAGCGAACGUGCGAAACGUAAUGUGAAUUGCAGAAUUCAGUGAAUCAUCGAAUCUUUGAACGCAUCUUGCGCUCCUUGGUAUUCCGAGGAGCAUGCCUGUUUGAGUGUCGUGAAUACUCUCAACUUCAACCCUUUUUUCGGAAAGGGAGGAAGGUUGGACUUGGGUGUUUGUUGAAGUGCGAGCUUCGACUCAUCCUAAAUGCAUUAGCGAUCUGCCUCGAUCACACACAAUGUGAUAAUUAAAACUAAAGCAUUGUUUAAUGAUCAAGUCGAGACUGCUUCUAACUGUCGCAAGACAAUAACGUGCAUACAUUUGUGCAUGUCAUUUGACCUCAAAUCAGGUAGGACUACCCGCUGAACUUAAGCAUAUCAUAAGCGGAGGA